UGUCUUUUUAUGCCCCACCUACGAUAGUAGAGGGGCAUUAUGUUUUCUGGUCUGUGCCUCCGUUCGUCCGUCGUCCGUCUGUGCCUCCGUUUGUCUGUCCGCUUCAGGUUAAAGUUUUUGGUCAAGGUAGUUUUUGAAGAAGUUGAAGUCCAAUCAACUUGAAACUUAGUACACUUGUUCCCCAUGAUAUGAUCUUUCUAAUUUUAAUGCCAAAUUAUAGUUUUGACCCCAAUUACAUGGUCCACUGAACAUAGAAAAUGAUAGUGCGAAGUUCAGGUUAAAGUUUUUGGUCAAGGUAGUUUUUGAUGAAGUUAAAGUUACAUCAACUUGAAACUUAGUACACUUGUUCCCUAUGAUAUGAUCUUUCUAAUUUUAAUUCCAAAUUAAAGUUUUGACCCCAAUUUCACGGUCCACUGAACAUAGAAAAUGAUAGUGCGAGUGGGGCAUUCAUGUACUAUGGAC
RNAcentral lists this long non-coding RNA (462 nucleotides) under Mytilus galloprovincialis (Mediterranean mussel). Lineage: Eukaryota; Metazoa; Mollusca; Bivalvia; Mytilida; Mytilidae. The record is from RNAcentral.